This is a non-coding RNA of Podarcis lilfordi (Lilford's wall lizard), 999 nucleotides long. The record is from the annotation of a GenBank genome assembly. Lineage: Eukaryota; Metazoa; Chordata; Lepidosauria; Squamata; Lacertidae.
CCUGGUACUGGCAGUACUUGCCAAAAAUAUAAGAGCAGAUAAAGAGAUCAUAGGUGUAAAAACUGGGAAACGCGAGUUCAAAUAAAAAGCAUAUGCAGAUGACUUAGUGUUAACAGUGGAAGACCCAAAAACCUCACUCCCCAAAGUAAUAGAAAAGAUUCACAAAUUUGGGGAAGUGGCAGGAUUUAAAUUAAAUAGGAACAAAACCAAACUAUUAGUUAAAAUUUUGAAGGAAGAAGAAAAAAGGAAUUAGAGCAAAAUAUUCAGAUAGAAGUCCAUAAAAAAGUUAAGUAUUUGGGGAUAUGGGUAACAUCAAGAAAUAUAAACUUAUACAAAGAUAAUUAUGAAAAAAUUUGGCUUGAGGCAAAAAGAAAUUUAGAAAUAUGGAGCAGAAUGAAUCUCUCAUUGUUAGGAAAAAUAGCAGCGGUUAAAAUGAAUGUGCUGCCAAAAAUGCUAUUCCUCUUUCAAUCAGUCCCAGUAAUUGUGAAAGACGAAUGCUUCAAAAAAUGGCAGAAAGAAAUUUCUAAGUUUAUCGGGGGGGGGGGGGCAAAAGGCCAAGGAUAAAUACAAAAUACUUACAGACAUAAAAGAUAGAGGCAGUUUUGCCCUCCCAGACCUUAAAUUAUAUUAUGAAGCUGCCUGCCUGGUAUGGAUUAGGGACUGGAUGAAGUUGGAAAAGCAAGAAGCAUUAGAAAUGGAAGGACAUGACAAUAGAUUUGGUUGGCAUGCAUAUUUAUGGUAUGGGAAAGGGAAGGUACACAGAAGUUUUUAUAACCAUAUAAUUAGUAAAUCACUAAUGAGUGUAUGGGAGAGAGAUAAAGAUUUGUUAGAACAGAAGACCCCCUUGGUGGCUUUCACCACAUGAAGCUUUACUGCUCAAACCACUUGGAGAGAAAGGAAAGUGGCUUACGUAUGCUGACUUGUUAAAGGACCAAGAAGGAAAAUGGAAACUAAGAGAUUACAACGAAAUAAAAGACCACUUUCAGAGUUGGUUACACU